This 73-nucleotide transfer RNA is filed under the name Phycisphaeraceae bacterium. Its description in RNAcentral is "tRNA-Trp". It matches the Rfam family "tRNA". From Rfam's summary of the family: Transfer RNA (tRNA) molecules are approximately 80 nucleotides in length. Lineage: Bacteria; Pseudomonadati; Planctomycetota; Phycisphaerae; Phycisphaerales; Phycisphaeraceae. RNAcentral also lists the same sequence under 1 other name. The record is from RNAcentral.
ACGCCAGUAGCUCAAUUGGCAGAGCAGUUGAUUCCAAAUCAACAGGUUAGGGGUUCAAGUCCUCUCUGGCGUG